This 720-nucleotide ribosomal RNA is filed under the name Boana multifasciata (many-banded treefrog). RNAcentral's name for it is "partial 16S ribosomal RNA". It matches the Rfam family "Bacterial large subunit ribosomal RNA", at positions 1926 to 2925 of the family's 2925-position model. The record is from RNAcentral. Lineage: Eukaryota; Metazoa; Chordata; Amphibia; Anura; Hylidae.
AACGGCCGCGGUAUCCUAACCGUGCGAAGGUAGCGUAAUCACUUGUUCUUUAAAUGAGGACUAGUAUGAAUGGCACCACGAGGGUUAAGCUGUCUCCUUUUUCUAAUCAGUGAAACUAAUCUCCCCGUGAAGAAGCGGGGAUUUCCUUAUAAGACGAGAAGACCCUAUGGAGCUUAAAACAAAUUAACAUCUGCUUCUAUCUAUUUUGUUCCCGAACUUACACAUAAAAUAUAGCACUACUGAUUAAUAGUUUUCGAUUGGGGUGAUCAUGGAGUAAAAACCAACCUCCACGACGAAAAGGACCACUUCCCUGAGCUAAAAGCUACAACUUUAGGCACUAAAAAAUUAACGCACUUUGACCCAAAUUUUUGAGCAACGAACCAAGUUACCCUAGGGAUAACAGCGCAAUCCAUUUCAAGAGCCCCUAUCGACAAAUGGGUUUACGACCUCGAUGUUGGAUCAGGGUAUCCCAGUGGUGCAGCCGCUACUAAAGGUUCGUUUGUUCAACGAUUAAAACCCUACGUGAUCUGAGUUCAGACCGGAGAAAUCCAGGUCAGUUUCUAUCUAUAAAGGGCUUUUUCUAGUACGAAAGGACCGAAAAAGCAUGGCCAAUGACCAAUUAAGCCAUAUAAAUUACUCAUGCUUUCAACUUAAUUAGAAAUAAACCUACCAUAAAUCUCAAAAAAAGAGAAGUUAACGUAGCAAAACCUGGCCCUGCAA